This 1444-nucleotide ribosomal RNA is filed under the name metagenome. Its description in RNAcentral is "bacterial SSU rRNA". It matches the Rfam family "Bacterial small subunit ribosomal RNA". The record is from RNAcentral.
AGAGUUUGAUCCUGGCUCAGGAUGAACGCUGGCGGCGUGCUUAACACAUGCAAGUCGAACGAACCUUCGGGUUAGUGGCGGACGGGUGAGUAACGCGUGAGAAUCUGCCCUCAGGAGGGGGAUAACGGCUGGAAACGGCCGCUAAUACCCCAUAUGCCGAGAGGUGAAAUGAAUUUCGCCUGAGGAUGAGCUCGCGUCUGAUUAGCUAGUUGGUGUGGUAAAGGCUCACCAAGGCAUCGAUCAGUAGCUGGUCUGAGAGGAUGAUCAGCCACACUGGGACUGAGACACGGCCCAGACUCCUACGGGAGGCAGCAGUGGGGAAUUUUCCGCAAUGGGCGCAAGCCUGACGGAGCAACGCCGCGUGAGGGAUGAAGGCCUCUGGGCUGUAAACCUCUUUUAUCAAGGAAGAAGAUCUGACGGUACUUGAUGAAUAAGCCACGGCUAAUUCCGUGCCAGCAGCCGCGGUAAUACGGGAGUGGCAAGCGUUAUCCGGAAUUAUUGGGCGUAAAGCGUCCGCAGGCGGUCUUGAAAGUCUGUUGUUAAAGCGUGGAGCUCAACUCCAUUUCAGCAAUGGAAACUAGAAGACUAGAGUGUGGUAGGGGCAGAGGGAAUUCCCGGUGUAGCGGUGAAAUGCGUAGAUAUCGGGAAGAACACCAGUGGCGAAGGCGCUCUGCUGGGCCAUAACUGACGCUCAUGGACGAAAGCCAGGGGAGCGAAAGGGAUUAGAUACCCCUGUAGUCCUGGCCGUAAACGAUGAACACUAGGUGUCGGGGGAAUCGACCCCCUCGGUGUCGUAGCCAACGCGUUAAGUGUUCCGCCUGGGGAGUACGCACGCAAGUGUGAAACUCAAAGGGAUUGACGGGGGCCCGCACAAGCGGUGGAGUAUUUGGUUUAAUUCGAUGCAACGCGAAGAACCUUACCAGGGUUUGGCAUCCUGCGAAUCCCUUGGAAACUUGGGAGUGCCUUCGGGAGCGCAGUGACAGGUGGUGCAUGGCUGUCGUCAGCUCGUGUCGUGAGAUGUUGGGUUAAGUCCCGCAACGAGCGCAACCCACGUCUUUAGUUGCCAGCAUUAAGUUGGGCACUCUAGAGAGACUGCCGGUGAUAAACCGGAGGAAGGUGUGGAUGACGUCAAGUCAUCAUGCCCCUUACAUCCUGGGCUACACACGUACUACAAUGCUACGGACAAAGGGCAGCAAACUCGCGAGAGCUAGCAAAUCCCAUAAACCGUGGCUCAGUUCAGAUCGUAGGCUGCAACUCGCCUACGUGAAGGAGGAAUCGCUAGUAAUCGCAGGUCAGCAUACUGCGGUGAAUACGUUCCCGGGCCUUGUACACACCGCCCGUCACACCAUGGAAGUUGGCCACGCCCGAAGUCGUUACUCCAACCCGCAAGGGAGGAGGAUGCCGAAGGUGGGGCUGAUGACUGGGGUGAAGUCGUAACAAGGUA